RNAcentral lists this unclassified non-coding RNA (381 nucleotides) under Styphelia mitchellii. RNAcentral's name for it is "Leucopogon mitchellii partial miscellaneous RNA". Lineage: Eukaryota; Viridiplantae; Streptophyta; Magnoliopsida; Ericales; Ericaceae. The record is from RNAcentral.
UAUUGAAGUUCCAUCUACAACUGGAUAAUACUUCGGUCCUAGUCUAUACGAGUUUUUGAAAGUAAGGGAGCAAUGCACUCUUGAUAGAACAAGAGGUGAUUGCUCCUUUACUUUUCUUUUGUUUAUUACGACUAGAGUAGUCUUUUACUUACAGAUUGUUUUUUUGUUACAAGAAAAAGAUUUUUAUGCUUUGGUUCAUGAUUGAGUCUCCUUUUUUCUUUUUUUAUUCCUUUUGAAUUGAGAUACCUUUGUUUUGUGAAAUUCUUAUUUUCCAUUGAAAGGAAAAUGAMAGGAAAAGAGAAAAUUUGCUUAAGACUUCAAAUUUAUAUCUCCGAAAUAAGAAAAAAAAUAAUCGGGAAUUUUAGAAAUUGAAAUCUUAAG